GGCGGGGCCUGAGCCCAUGGGCGGGGUGGAACCUCAGCAAGGUCUCUCCAUUGAGCGUUCAGGCAAGAUAGAUGGUUUUCCUGCCGGGUUUUGAGCACGGGAUCCAAGAGAGUCUUGUUAUCCAGUGCACUACAGCAGUGGGAUACAUUUGAGCAAGAGUUAGACCUUUGAACCGUCAGCCUAUUGAAGGGAUGCUGGGCCUGGGACGAAGGGUUAAGCCUUUCCUGUGGUUGCUGUGGAAGUUACGCAUCCCGAUUUCAGCCCUGCUUGAGUUCUGGUUCUGACUUCCUCCAAUGAUAGACUGUGAUCGGAAAUGUAAGCCAAAUAAACCCUUUCCUUCCUUGUAGUUGGUAUUUUCUUUGGGUCACCAACCAACUCCCAAAUAAUGACACAGAGAGUUCUGAUUAAUUGUGGAUGCUUGGUUUUGCUUAGGCUUGUCCCACUAGGUCUUUUAAUUUAAUCUGUUUCUAUUAAUCUAAAUUUUGCCUAGGGACUUGUUACCUUUCUUUCAUUCUGGAUGUCCCACUUUCCCUGCUUCCUCCAUGUCUGUCUGUCUGGUCCCUGGUGUAAUGUGGUGGUAUUGUGUUCCCCAAAAUAUUGUGUACCCUAAUAAACUUAUCUGGGGUCAGAGAACAGAAAAGCCACUAGAUACUUAGGAUAGGCAGUGGUAGCACACGCCUUUAAUCCUAGCAUUCCAGAGGCAGAAAUCCAUGUGUUCAAGGAUACAGCCAAGCAUGGUGACUCAUGCCUUUAAUCCCAGGGCAGUGGUGGUAGAAAGCAGAAAGGUAUAUAAGGUGUGAGGACCAGAAACUAGAAGCAUUUGGUCUGGUUCAGCAUUUGGCUGAUUAAGCUUUUAUGUUUCGAGCAGCACAGUUCAGCUGAGAGCCAUUCGGAUAUGAGGACACAGAGGCUUCCAGUCUGAGGAAACAAGAUCAGCUGAGAAGUUGGCCAGUUUCAGGUCAAGAGAAUAUCCCACAGAAAAAUCCCCAAAGCAGGCCCAGAGUUCAUCCUGUCACUUGACAAGUUCUGCACUCUGUACAGACAGCAUCCUCUGGCAAAAGGGGCACCACACAUAAUGAUCCGGUCUCCUGGCCACUGCCAGGGCUAGCAAUGGCUUCUGUCCCACCCAACACACACAGAGUCGGGUGAUUGGCCAGUGGAAAAGGCAGGCGGCUGCUGUACAGACAAAAAGAAUGCUGGGGAUAUGGAAAUGAAGGCAUGCAGCGUCGUUUCUUCCAACGUGAUGAAGGAGACAAGCGAAGACAGUGAUGACAAAGUGGAUAAAUGUCCUGCACACCACACAUCACGGUUUUGCAGAGCAAAGGACUCCUGGUCCAGGGAAUGGUCCAACCUACAAUCAAGAGGAGUUGUCCUAUAUCAUCAACUAAUGUAUCAAGAUAUCCAAUCCUGGGUCCUGUCCAUCUGAAAGCUGACACUAACCAUCACAGAGGCAUUGAAGCCAAUCUAGAGUGACAGAAAGUUGGUACAAACCUUCCAAGAAUAGGAAAGAUGACAACUGGGUAGUAGGUAGUUGCAACAACUGGUAGUAUAUGACAGGCAAAAGGAGAGGUUAAUUCUAGUGCCAACCCUACCAGUGGCUAGUCAUGAGUUCUUUAAAUAAACUGCUGGUAGUAGUGCAAGGAUGGCCUUUUAAUGAGUUCCUAAGUUUUUUUUCAUAUUUUUAAUCUAAUUAUUAUUUAUGUUAUAUAUGCAUAUGUAUGUGUGUGCACGCAUGCAUAUAUGCACAUGUAGGUGACCCCAGAGGCCAGAAGAGGGUGUCAGAUUGAUUGGAACUAGAGUUACAAACUGCACCACCAUGUGGGUACUGGGACCCAAACCUGGAUCCUCUGCAAGAGCAGUAAGUGCUCUUAACCCCUGAGCAGUCUCCCCAGCUCUGGAGUCUCACUACUACCUUACAAGUUCUUGGCACAGAUCGGUCCAAUUCAUACAACAGAGACCUAAACACCCAGCGUUUGAUUUUGAUCAAUCGUGUAAUUAAGUGACAACCGGCCCGGUUUUCUAAUUAUUUCUGGAAGAGAUCACCUGAGUGCAGCCACUGAGAGUAAGAGGCCACAGAAACGGUCAUGUUGGGAGCACAUCCUGAAGUGAACAACGUCAUCUCUAUGGUGAUGUCCUACUCUUUCCCAGUCAGCCAUUCCCCAGGAAGCCCUGCUGUUCAAGUUCAGAGGUGAAUUAGCAGUCAUUUCUGUGUUGCUUUGCUUCUCUGAGAUAUAGUUUGGAAACAGUCAAGUAAUUAAAGCCAAAACUCAAAUCAUCUUGACUUUCUUUUCUUCAUAUAAGGCUUCUGGGGUUCAUUCACUCAUCUACCCAGAUGCUAGGAUGUUCGUAGGUAGGUGUUACAAGUGGAAUCUGACUUCCUGAGCCCCCACUGUGCUCACAGACCAUGUGUAAAGUAUAUACAGCAAAGCCAUAAAGUGAAGGGGAGACAGUAAGGGGACUGAAGCUACCAAGGUAGACUAGAGAUGCACAAAGGUUUCUCCUGGGAUGGUUCCCAUGGCGAGAGGUUCAGAACACAAGUCAGAUGGCAGUUCGUCUGGACCUGUUCAAGAUGCAUCACUUCUUCUUUGAAUGCCUUUCAUUUAAUAAAUUUUGAUUUAUUCUUCAUCCUAA
This is a long non-coding RNA of Peromyscus californicus insignis, 2631 nucleotides long. RefSeq lists it as uncharacterized. The record is from RefSeq and is a predicted model, not a curated record. Lineage: Eukaryota; Metazoa; Chordata; Mammalia; Rodentia; Cricetidae. The transcript is spliced from 6 exons.